GACCUCUCAACCGCUUUGGUAUUCGAUUACAAAAGUCGGCUUGGAACUUGGGUGCCUCUGGCGAAACACGAAGGGUCUUUGCGGACCUGUCGCCCACCCCAAAGUCAGUUGGGCCAACCGCGCGGAUGAGCGGACGGUUUGACCACAGUGUUGUAAGGUUCGCCUCACUGUUGGGACGUCCAUUUCCGUCGCUAUCAGGCGUUUGAAAUACGAUACUAUUGA
RNAcentral lists this unclassified non-coding RNA (222 nucleotides) under uncultured Basidiomycota. Its description in RNAcentral is "sequence contains ITS2". The record is from RNAcentral. Lineage: Eukaryota; Fungi; Basidiomycota.